UUGCUAAGAACUUUCCUUACACUAGAUGACAAGUUGUCUUUUGCAGGAGCCUCUGCUUGGAUACAAGAGAAGCCCUUCAGCAUCCCCUUCAUCCAAAGCCAGAGAUCUCUCCCUUAUUGAUUGAACAUCCUUCAGUUCUUUCUCUGUGUAGAACUGAAUGUCUAUCUCCUACUGAAAUUUCAUGUACACAAGGUCAGAAGAGGCUCCUUAAAGCUGAGAGCAAUGUAGCACCAUAAAUUCCAGGACAUGAAACAGGCCCUUUUGAGCUACAUGAAAGGUUAUCCAAGGAGAAUAAGGUCUGAAAUAGCCACAGAAGCAGUCUGUCACACGAUCCAUUGAACUCCCAGAAGAUCUGACAGCUCAGACAUCCUGCUCCUCCUGCAUGAAAGGCAAAGUACCUCUACUCACCAUGGCAUUGCUGAUGGUCUACCUCAUGGUUCCAUAUAUCUUAAUUAGAGGAGAACCCUGGAAAAAACUCAUAAUCUACCUCCCACUGGUGCUCCUGAUUGCUAGGCUUGCCCAAAGUUGCUAAUAGCUUGUCUGCAACAGGGCUUCAGGACAGUAGCAGCUCCUCUACUAGAUGAGCAGAGAUCAAAUGACCAAGGCAGCACAGGGCUUCACAGCUCUGGAUUCUACCCUAGGGAGAGACAGGGCUCUAGUCUGGGAAAUAUGUAUUUUAGUAGAAACUAUUCCAGUCUCUCAGAGCACUUUCUGUUCCUCUUCCAAGAGGUGUGUGUUUUAUUACACAGUCACUGGCCAGUGCAGGCUACCAUUUCCUUCAUAGCUCAGAAAUUCUGUAGCCAAACCUAAGUCAUAUAAAACAAGAACUGCUGUUAAAGAAAAAGGAGAUCAUGAAUUAAAAAACAAUGAAGUGUCUAUGGAAUGGCUUAGAAGUAGAAAAGCAAUAAUGCAAAUGAUAUAAUAUAAUCCCCAAAAAUUAUUUUAAAAAAUUGAAACAAGCUACAUGGCCAUGUGCUUCAGAGACUAGGGGUUUGUGUUAGAGCACAAUAUGUAUUAGUCACGCAUUUUCUCUCAGGUUGUUCAUCUUAAACUUGUAAAAUAAUUGUACUUUAGGCAGGGCUACACCAUAUUAUCCAGUUCUAUUUUGGUCAAACUAGUGUAAGUACGGUAGUUUGGUUUUGUGAUAAGUUCAGUUCUUUAUCCAGAUUCUUGAUUUCCUGUUCUGUGGAUGCAAAUGGCCAGUCAGAACAAUUAAUAAUCAUCUAAAAUACAUAAAAUUGAUCACCUCACUACUUAUUUCUAAUGUGAGCUACAGUCAAAGGCAAAGACCUUUGAUGCUUCUUCUAGCCCAUCCCUUUCUGUAAGGACAGUACACCUGUUUUAAAUUUGGUCAGUGAACUCAAUUCUUACACAGGUCCUUUUUCAUAUGGAAGUUUGCAAUACAAUCAAGAGAUGUUGGAGGACACUCAUUUACCAGUCUAUUUUUACUUCACAAUGACCAGUUAGGUCUAGUCUUGAAGCAGUUUGCAGAACUUUCUUUCCCACACUUGGCAGCAGAAGCAGAAUUAGAUGUUCGAAGCAAUUCUCAACUGCAUAGUAUGAGGCAAGCCAAAGUAACAAGAGACAUUGCUCUAAACAGAAAUAACUCCCUUGAGAAAAAUGGAAAGAAAUUAUUAAUGACCUGAAAAAAAUGGGGAAUAGAAGAAAAUAAGAGAUUAGAGCAGAGAUGCAUUAAACAAAAUCAAAUUUUAACAGUGAAACAAAUAAUUGUCUUUUUAAAAAAUAAACAGAAUUGAAAAAAACACAAGGCUCUACUGACUUUCAAAAAGAGAACACAGUUCUCUGGUAGAGGGAAUGGUAUUAAUAAGAUAUCAUAUCGCCACACCCCUAUGUGCAAAGUUAGCUGCUGAGACCUGUGACCUGGCACACACAGCUAUAGCUAAUGGAAAAAAUCAUGGCAAGCAGGAUUGAAAAUAUCUGCAUAUGGAAAGGAGAGUUCUUUGUUCAAAAUUCAAUAUUCAUGGGCUCAUGCUAACCUUCCGAUAUUGUACACCCAAAAUCUAGCCUGCCUUCACUUACAUGACAUGGAUCAAUACAUGCUGGGGAAUUAAAAAAUCACUGAUCCUGCCACAAUCAGGUCCUAUUUCAGAAUUGUGACUUCUGCAGCUCUUUGCCUACCAUGUUAAACCCAGCAGUGUACACAAUAAAUUAUUCUUUCUAUUCUAGUAUAUGGGCACACAAAAAUCUCUUUUCUCUUAUUCAAAUGGACAGUUGACUGCUGUGGGAUGGUCUGUAUGUCAAAUUGCUCUGAUUGGUCAACAAAUAAAACACUGAUUGGCCAGUGGCUAGGCAGGAAGUAUAGGCAGGACUAACAGAGAGGAGAAAAGAAAGAACAGGAAGGCAGAAGGAGUCACUGCCAGCUGCUGCCAGGACAAGCAGCAUGUGAAGA
Molecule: long non-coding RNA, 2410 nt
Organism: Peromyscus eremicus (cactus mouse)
Lineage: Eukaryota; Metazoa; Chordata; Mammalia; Rodentia; Cricetidae
Exons: 4
Source: RefSeq, a predicted model, not a curated record